Molecule: ribosomal RNA, 561 nt
Filed under: uncultured fungus
Lineage: Eukaryota; Fungi
Description: SSU rRNA
Rfam family: Eukaryotic small subunit ribosomal RNA
Source: RNAcentral
GCACGCCUAUGCUCGAUACAUUAGCAUGGAAUAAUAGAAUAGGACGUGUGGUUCUAUUUUGUUGGUUUCUAGGACCGCCGUAAUGAUUAAUAGGGACAGUCGGGGGCAUCAGUAUUCAAUUGUCAGAGGUGAAAUUCUUGGAUUUAUUGAAGACUAACUACUGCGAAAGCAUUUGCCAAGGAUGUUUUCAUUAAUCAGGAACGAAAGUUAGGGGAUCGAAGACGAUCAGAUACCGUCGUAGUCUUAACCAUAAACUAUGCCGACUAGGGAUCGGACGGUGUUAUUUUUUGACCCGUUCGGCACCUUACGAGAAAUCAAAGUGCUUGGGCUCCAGGGGGAGUAUGGUCGCAAGGCUGAAACUUAAAGAAAUUGACGGAAGGGCACCACCAGGGGUGGAGCCUGCGGCUUAAUUUGACUCAACACGGGGAAACUCACCAGGUCCAGACACAAUGAGGAUUGACAGAUUGAGAGCUCUUUCUUGAUUUUGUGGGUGGUGGUGCAUGGCCGUUCUUAGUUGGUGGAGUGAUUUGUCUGCUUAAUUGCGAUAACGAACGAGACCUU